RNA transcript from Pristis pectinata (smalltooth sawfish), 1399 nucleotides. RefSeq lists it as uncharacterized. The record is from RefSeq and is a predicted model, not a curated record. The transcript has 3 exons. NCBI's taxonomy places the organism in Eukaryota, Metazoa, Chordata, Chondrichthyes, Rhinopristiformes, Pristidae.
GGGGCGCGGGGGGGGUGGGGGGAAGGGGGAGGGACUGAGACAGAAGGGGACUGGGUCACAGACUGAGAUGGGCAGUGGAAGAGAGGAGCGGGGAUGGCGAGAGAAGGGGAUCGGGGGAGGGCCGAGUAGAGAGAUGGAGCCGUCCGGUUUCACAAGUGGGUUUAUUCCGACGCGGGACAGCAGACCGUGUACCCCGGGCGAGGGGACUCCCCACGCUCCCCUUCCCCACCUCCCCCCCCCCCCCACCCACCCCCACUUCCCACGGUGGUCUGGGGCGCUCCCAGCUGGUAGGGUGCCCCUGGGAGGGAGCACCCGCCCCCCCCCCCCGCCAGAUUCUGCUCAGCACCCUGGGGACAAGAGGUUAGAGCCGGCCGCCGCCAGACGCACCUCUCCCCACCCAAACCAGUGCGUCUGAGUGAGAGGGGACGUCUCCCCAACCUCUGCCCUCCCCGUGAAAUCAUCCCCACACCCCUCCUUCCAGGUCCCUCGUACUGGGACUUCACCGGACCCUUCCUGGGGGUGCUUCCCCCACACCCCUGGGGUAGUCCCGGGCCGUUCCGAAGUCCCCUUCCUGUGUGUGAAGCCCUGCCGUUCCCUUGGGCCUGUUCCCUGUCCCUGGAGGUCACUCCUUGGUGCCGCAGGAUGGGUCAGUCCAUCUUCCAAAUCUUCUCGGCCGAAGUCGGGUGUCUGGGGCGGGGUGAGGUGGACGGAACGGUCUGCUGGUCCCGUCCCGGCUGCCCAGGUCUCUCAUUGGCCGUGUCCCGGCUGCCCAGGUCUCUCAUUGGCCGUGUCCCGGCUGCCCAGGUCUCCCAUUGGCCGUGUCCCGGCUGCCCAGGUCUCUCAUUGGCCGUGUCCCAGCAGCACAGGUCUCUCAUUGGCCGUGGCCCAGCAGCCCAAGUCUCUCAUUGGCCGUGUCCCGGCUGCCCAGGUCUCUCAUUGGCCAUGUCCCAGCAGCACAGGUCUCUCAUUGGCCGUGUCCCAGGUGUCCAGGUCUCUCACUGGCUGUGUCCCUGCACCUCAGGUCCCUCAUUGGCUGCGUCCCAACAGUACAGGCUCCUGAUUGGUGAGUUCCAGCAUCCCAGACGCCCCACUGGCUGCAGCCCAGUCCCUCAUUGGCUGUGUACAACCUGCUCGGGUCUGUCACUGGCCCUCCUUCAUCAGCAGUCAAAGGGUAUUGGCCACGUCUCAGCAGCCCAAGUCUCUCAUUGGCCGUGACUCAGAUGCCCAGUCUCCUCAUAGGUCGUCUCCAAACAGACGAGGCAUCUCCAGCUUCCACGCUGGCUAUCUUCCAGCUCCCUGAUUGGCCGCGUCCCAACAGUCCAGGCCCCUCAUUGGUCGGUUCCAGCAGCCGAGUCUUCUGAUUGGCCAUCUUCCAGCACCCCUCGGCCUUCCCCUCUUC